GUUUAACCUUCGGGGGGACGCUUACCACUUUGUGGUUCAUGACUGGGGUGAAGUCGUAACAAGGUAGCGCUAGGGGAACCUGGCGCUGGAUCACCUCCUUAWACGAUGAU
RNAcentral lists this ribosomal RNA (110 nucleotides) under Vibrio parahaemolyticus. RNAcentral describes it as "partial 16S ribosomal RNA". It matches the Rfam family "Bacterial small subunit ribosomal RNA", at positions 1433 to 1533 of the family's 1533-position model. The record is from RNAcentral. Lineage: Bacteria; Pseudomonadati; Pseudomonadota; Gammaproteobacteria; Vibrionales; Vibrionaceae.